UACGUAGGGACCAAGCGUUGUUCGGAUUUACUGGGCGUAAAGGGCGCGUAGGCGGUCGUGACAAGUCACUUGUGAAAUCUCCGGGCUUAACUCGGAACGGUCAAGUGAUACUGUCGGACUAGAGUACAGAAGGGGCAACUGGAAUUCUCGGUGUAGCGGUGAAAUGCGUACGAUAUCAGGAGGAACACCGGUGGCGAAGGCGCCUAUCUGGCCCGAUACUGACGCUGAGGCGCGAAAGCUAGGGGAGCAAACGGG
RNAcentral lists this ribosomal RNA (255 nucleotides) under uncultured bacterium. Its description in RNAcentral is "partial 16S ribosomal RNA". It matches the Rfam family "Bacterial small subunit ribosomal RNA", at positions 524 to 776 of the family's 1533-position model. The record is from RNAcentral.